GACGACUAAAGAUGCUGCUUCAGAUUCUUCUGGUGGUGUUGGCAACUAGCAGCUAUGGGGCUGCCAAUAGUGCCCUACGUUAUGAACAUGUGCAACAAACAAGAUCUGUGGACGAUGGUGAGGUAGACCGAGAUAUCAAAAUGCUUGAAGAAGAAGAAGACGAAGAUGGGGAAGACGAAGAAGAUGAAG
RNAcentral lists this long non-coding RNA (189 nucleotides) under Haliotis rufescens (red abalone). RNAcentral's name for it is "uncharacterized LOC124144355". Lineage: Eukaryota; Metazoa; Mollusca; Gastropoda; Lepetellida; Haliotidae. The record is from RNAcentral.